UACGGAGGGUGCAAGCGUUGUUCGGAAUCACUGGGCGUAAAGCGCGUGUAGGCGGCUACUUAAGUCUGAUGUGAAAGCCCUGGGCUUAACCCAGGAAGUGCAUUGGAUACUGGGUAGCUCGAGUACCGGAGAGGAGGGUGGAAUUCCUGGUGUAGCAGUGAAAUGCGUAGAUAUCAGGAGGAACACCGGUGGCGAAGGCGUCCCUCUGGCCGGAUACUGACGCUGAGACGCGAAAGCGUGGGGAGCAAACAGG
Molecule: ribosomal RNA, 253 nt
Filed under: uncultured bacterium
Lineage: Bacteria
Description: partial 16S ribosomal RNA
Rfam family: Bacterial small subunit ribosomal RNA
Source: RNAcentral